GUGCUCGCUCUCGUGCACCUGUACGUGCAAAAGACUGAACGUCAUUCAAGACCCCGAUAUACUCACGGUGGUGUUUAUUUUCGUUCUUUGCUUAUAAGAAAAGAAGUUGGAAAUACCUUCGCAGCGAUAUAGGCCUACUGUUACCGAACAUCCCAUGCUGCUGUGAGCGACGUUUAGAUGAAUAUGUAAAUAUGUGCUGCGCGCUUUACUCUCAGUGACAAAAUAAACACAAAACAACAAAAAAUGACAGAGAAAACAGCAGUUAAGAAAGCAGAUAUGUUUGCACCAGCUCUGCAAUUCACCGCCAUCAUGUCGACAGAGUGACAACAGAGUGGCUGUGUUGAUGGAAGAGGUAUGAACCAGAGGCCUACUGCAUGAAGCCAGUUUCAGUAGCUACCCAGCUCGAGGCACACCAAGCUGAUGUCAAAGAACUAGAUGCAAUGGAAGCUGAAUGUGUUGUCGCCUCUCGUCGGCUGCGUCUCGGCCAAAAAGCUGUGCUUGAACACACCAAAAGGACUACAAGUGACUGUCUACUAGCACGUGUGUUCUGCGCCUACAUGUAAGUAAAUAUCUGUUUAUAUCAUCAGGUAUCAAUAGUCUAUUUUUAUAAAACUAGGACAAAAAAACAAAACUAGGAUUGCAGAUAUACAAAAUCGUAAACAAAGCAGCACU
Long non-coding RNA from Ctenopharyngodon idella (grass carp), 672 nucleotides. RefSeq lists it as uncharacterized. The record is from RefSeq and is a predicted model, not a curated record. The transcript has 3 exons. NCBI's taxonomy places the organism in Eukaryota, Metazoa, Chordata, Actinopteri, Cypriniformes, Xenocyprididae.